GAAAAGUUAGUUUAUUAUAAAACAUUAAUCUGUCAGAUUCAAAAAACUAGAAUAGUAUUUUUCU
This 64-nucleotide transfer RNA is filed under the name Magicicada septendecim (seventeen-year cicada). Its description in RNAcentral is "tRNA-Asp". RNAcentral also lists the same sequence under 2 other names. Lineage: Eukaryota; Metazoa; Arthropoda; Insecta; Hemiptera; Cicadidae. The record is from RNAcentral.